GACGAACGCUGGCGGCGUGCUUAACACAUGCAAGUCGAGCGGUAAGGCCCCUUCGGGGUACGACGAGCGGCGAACGGGUGAGUAACACGUGGGUGACCUGCCCUCAGCUCUGGGAUAAGCCUGGGAAACUGGGUCUAAUACCGGAUAUGACUCCAUGACGCAUGUCGUGGGGUGGAAAGCCUUGUGCGGCUGGGGAUGGGCCCGCGGCCUAUCAGCUUGUUGGUGGGGUGAUGGCCUACCAAGGCGACGACGGGUAGCCGGCCUGAGAGGGCGACCGGCCACACUGGGACUGAGACACGGCCCAGACUCCUACGGGAGGCAGCAGUGGGGAAUCUUGCGCAAUGGGCGAAAGCCUGACGCAGCGACGCCGCGUGAGGGAUGAC
Molecule: ribosomal RNA, 383 nt
Filed under: uncultured bacterium
Lineage: Bacteria
Description: bacterial SSU rRNA
Rfam family: Bacterial small subunit ribosomal RNA
Source: RNAcentral